This 512-nucleotide ribosomal RNA is filed under the name Diaporthe sp. RNAcentral's name for it is "eukaryotic LSU rRNA". It matches the Rfam family "Eukaryotic large subunit ribosomal RNA", at positions 36 to 560 of the family's 3401-position model. The record is from RNAcentral. Lineage: Eukaryota; Fungi; Ascomycota; Sordariomycetes; Diaporthales; Diaporthaceae.
AAGCAUAUCAAUAAGCGGAGGAAAAGAAACCAACAGGGAUUGCCCUAGUAACGGCGAGUGAAGCGGCAACAGCUCAAAUUUGAAAUCUGGCUUCGGCCCGAGUUGUAAUUUGCAGAGGAUGCUUCUGGCGCGGUGCCUUCCGAGUUCCCUGGAACGGGACGCCACAGAGGGUGAGAGCCCCGUAUGGUCGGACACCAAGCCUGUGUGAAGCUCCUUCGACGAGUCGAGUAGUUUGGGAAUGCUGCUCUAAAUGGGAGGUAAAUCUCUUCUAAAGCUAAAUACCGGCCAGAGACCGAUAGCGCACAAGUAGAGUGAUCGAAAGAUGAAAAGCACCUUGAAAAGGGGGUUAAAUAGUACGUGAAAUUGUUGAAAGGGAAGCACUUAUGACCAGACUUGGGCCGGGCGGCUCAUCAGGGGUUCUCCCCUGUGCACUCCGCCCGGCACAGGCCAGCAUCGGUUUUCGCGGGGGGAUAAGACCGGCGGGAACGUAGCACCCUCCGGGGUGUGUUAUA